GGGGAUGUACCGGUUUCGACGGGGGUGUUGAUGCGGUGCGGGGCAUGUCGAGGCGCUUAACCUCGUUAAAAUGAGCAAUCGCAAAAAUAACUGCGAACGAAGAAACUUUCGCUCUCGCGGCCUAAGCCCGCGGGACCUUGCAUCGGGUUGCGCUUGACCCGAGUUUCGUAAGAAACCGCAAGGACAUUUAAAGCGCUCGCGCCGCUUCGGGUUACUUGAAACCGGCGUUAAACUUAGGUAACUGGUCGCCGCAUUGCCUGUGCUUUGGCAAUGUUGCGACAAGACACAAAAAAGCACUAAGCAUGUAGUCCCGGCUGUUGAUAGCUUUCGGAAGCGGGUUCGACUCCCGCCAUCUCCACCA
Molecule: transfer-messenger RNA, 361 nt
Filed under: Burkholderiales bacterium
Lineage: Bacteria; Pseudomonadati; Pseudomonadota; Betaproteobacteria; Burkholderiales
Rfam family: transfer-messenger RNA
About the family: Bacterial tmRNA, also known as 10Sa RNA or SsrA, is named for its dual tRNA and mRNA-like properties.
Source: RNAcentral